This 406-nucleotide ribosomal RNA is filed under the name uncultured bacterium. RNAcentral's name for it is "partial 16S ribosomal RNA". It matches the Rfam family "Bacterial small subunit ribosomal RNA", at positions 28 to 526 of the family's 1533-position model. The record is from RNAcentral.
GUUGAACGCUGGCGGCAGGCCUAACACAUGCAAGUCGAACGAGUGGCGGACGGGUGAGUAAUGUCUGUGAAACUGCCUGAUGGGGGGGGGUAACUACUUGAAAAGGUAGCUAAUACCCCCUACCAUCAUCUUUACCCAGAUGGGAUUAGCUAGUUGGUGGGGUAACGGCUCACCAGGGCGACGAUCCCUAGCUGGUCUGAGAGGAUGACCAGCCAAACUGGAACUGAGAAACGGUCCAGCUCCCUCCGGGAGGCAGCAUUGGGGAAUAUUGGACAAGGGGGGCAGUCUGGAUGCAGCCAUGCGGGGUGUAUGAAGAAGGCCUUCGGGUUGUAAAGUACUUUAAUCGGGGAGGCGUUACCCGAAGAAGAAGCACCGGCUAACUCCGUGCCAGCAGCCGCGGUAAUUC